RNAcentral lists this ribosomal RNA (407 nucleotides) under uncultured soil bacterium. Its description in RNAcentral is "bacterial SSU rRNA". It matches the Rfam family "Bacterial small subunit ribosomal RNA", at positions 509 to 916 of the family's 1533-position model. The record is from RNAcentral.
CAGCCGCCGCGGUAAUUCGUAGGGUGCGAGCGUUAAUCGGAAUUACUGGGCGUAAAGCGUGCGCAGGCGGUUCGUUGUGUCGGCGGUGAAAGCCCCGGGCUCAACCUGGGAAUGGCCGUUGAAACUGGCGAACUGGAGUGUGGCAGAGGGGGGUGGAAUUCCGCGUGUAGCAGUGAAAUGCGUAGAGAUGCGGAGGAACACCGAUGGCGAAGGCAGCCCCCUGGGCUGACACUGACGCUCAGGCACGAAAGCGUGGGGAGCAAACAGGAUUAGAUACCCUGGUAGUCCACGCCCUAAACGAUGUCGACUAGGUGUUGGGGAAGCGAUUUCCCAGUACCGUAGCUAACGCGUGAAGUCGACCGCCUGGGGAGUACGGCCGCAAGGUUAAAACUCAAAGGAAUUGACGG